This 107-nucleotide small nuclear RNA is filed under the name Daphnia pulex (common water flea). Lineage: Eukaryota; Metazoa; Arthropoda; Branchiopoda; Diplostraca; Daphniidae. The record is from RNAcentral.
GUAUUCCAUACGGAAUACAUAUAAUAAAAUUGGAAAGAUACAGAGAAGAUUAGCAUGCGCCCCUGCGCAAGGAUGACACGCAAAAUCGUGAAGCGUUCCACAUUCCC